GAUGAACGCUGGCGGCGUGCUUAACACAUGCAAGUCGAGCGAGAACCUUGAACUUUGAGAUUUCGGUCAAAGAGUUCAAGCGGACAGCGGCGGACGGGUGAGUAUCGCGUAGGCAACCUGCCUUUCACAGAGGGAUAGCCUCGGGAAACCGGGAUUAAAACCUCAUGAUACCGAAUUAACACAUGUUUAUUCGGUCAAAGAUUUAUCGGUGAUAGAUGGGCCUGCGUCUGAUUAGUUAGUUGGUAAGGUAACGGCUUACCAAGGCUACGAUAAGUAACCUACCUGAGAGGGUAAUCGGUGACAUUGGAACUGAGACAUGGUCCAAACUCCUACGGGAGGCAGCAGUGGGGAAUAUUGCACAAUGGGCGCAAGCCUGAUGCAGCAACGCCGCGUGAGCGAUGAAGGUCCUAUGGAUCGUAAAGCUCUGUCCUUGGGGAAGAAAAAAAUGACGGUACCCAAGGAGGAAGCCCCGGCUAACUACGUGCCAGCAGCCGCCGUAA
Molecule: ribosomal RNA, 500 nt
Filed under: uncultured bacterium
Lineage: Bacteria
Description: partial 16S ribosomal RNA
Rfam family: Bacterial small subunit ribosomal RNA
Source: RNAcentral